AAUCUUAUAAGCUCUAGAGGCAUGGUAACUUGGAGCAAAAGGCGAGCUGGGAGGUGUCAACCCACAGAGUUUUAAGUACUGAGGGUCAACAUUUUCAGAAGCUCUGGAAGAUCUCAUAGGAGCCCAAGAUUUCCUCUCUCAAACCGGAUCUUGGAGCGUAGUGUGUUUUUAACAUGAUGUGUGGUUGCAAAACCCAAAGGAUUACGUGGAAAAUUUUUGAAGCUGAACGAUAGAAGGGGUUGACUUACUGAAAUAAAAGCCUCUGUCUCCACAUACGAACUGAAGAGCAUCAACCAGCUCAGCACCACAGAGUGUCUCUGG
Chelonia mydas (Green sea turtle) is the source of this 321-nucleotide long non-coding RNA. RefSeq lists it as uncharacterized. NCBI's taxonomy places the organism in Eukaryota, Metazoa, Chordata, Testudines, Cheloniidae. The transcript is spliced from 3 exons. The record is from RefSeq and is a predicted model, not a curated record.